This is a long non-coding RNA of Fukomys damarensis (Damara mole-rat), 1648 nucleotides long. Lineage: Eukaryota; Metazoa; Chordata; Mammalia; Rodentia; Bathyergidae. The record is from Ensembl.
GCCUUGUUUACUUUAGGGUGGUAUCCAAGUUGGUCAAUGAUCACAGGUCAGCUCAGACAAGACAACUACCUUUAGCACAGGCUAAAAAAUAAGGUAGCGACCUUUGGGCUCUUUCUCCCCACUCUUGCUUUCGCAGUUCUGAUAAAAUGAUAAGGAGGCUGUUGCAAAGUCAUACAAGAAAAUGGGCUAAAUGACAUUGAGAACACUCUGCAGAGCUCUAAUGAUGGCCAGGGAUGUGGUUACAGAGGCUGGAAUAGCCUCGCUGAGCUACAGGCACUUGGUAUGAACAGAGAGGACUUUAUUUCUAGCAUCUGUCUGGGAGGCAGGUAUGAGUGUUUAUUUCCUGGCACAAAAUUUCCAAGCAAAGAUCACAUUUUAGGCAUCUGAGGCUGCUGUAACAGACCACAAACCGGGAGGCUUAAACCACAUUUCUAUCUAUGCCAUGGUUCUGCAGGCUGGGGAGUUUAAGAUCAAGGUACCAGCUGGUUUGACUCGUGGUGAGGGCCUCUUCCUGGUUUGCAGAUGUUGCCUUCUUGCUGUAUCUUCACACAGUUGAGAUAGAUCUUCUCUGUCUCUUCUUAUUAGGGCACUAAGUUCAUCCGUAAGGGAUCCAUCUUAUCACCCAAUUAUCUUCCUAAGACCCUUUGACCAAACACCAUCACAUUGAGAGUUCAGGCUUCCACAUAUAAAUUUGGGAAGAACCAAACAUCCGGCCCAUAUUAGAUGACAUUCUGAGAGAAAAGGCAGAUCGAUUAAAACGUUCCUGGACAAUGGCCAGGCGGUGGAAAGCAGUUGCUGUAAUACGGAGAGGAUGGUAUCAAAGUGAAACGCGUAUGUCCUGUAAAGGACUCCCAGGUGUUGAAGAACAUGUAUGUCAGUCAGAAAACAAGUUAGGGUCACAAGUCAGAGCAGUUGGACCAGCCUUUGAUGACUCGACGCUGUCCUGUGUGGGACGAGAGGUGAGAGAGGAGCAAGUUCAAGAGGGGAAGGCCCCCCGAAGAGGCCACCUGUGACGGUUUGGGUGGACGUCAACUUGAUUGGCAGGGACCUACCACGGAGGAUUGGUGGAGAUAUUUCCGGGUGUGUCCAUCUGGGGUGUCCGGGUGUGUCCGUCACAGAAGCACAGCCUGGAGUCUGUGUCAGGGCCCUGGCCUCUUCCUCCCUGGCACUGUUCCCCGCUCUGCCUCCCAGCAGCCAUAAACUGAGCCCCUUUGCCCCACCAUCCCCUUCCACCAUGAUGUUUCUGCCUCUGAGACAGCCAAGCAUGGACUGGAUUCCCUGAAACCAGGAGCCAAAGUAAACCUUUGCUCUUCUAAGUUGUGGAUUUGGGUUAUUGUGUCUGUGGGUUGGAUGACUGUGAUGGAAAAACUAACUAAUAAACCAGAUGUCAGAUUUCAAGUUAAUACUUUUUUCGGGUACCUCCCGAGCAGCACACUGUCCAGAUCCCAUUAUCGGCAUCAACAGGGUCAGGUGUCAGGCAGAGGACAAGGGCAAAAUCUUCUGUGAAGUGUCCUGUGAUGAGCCAGCAGGUCCUGGGGAGGCAGAGCGGUAGUAGAAGCUGUGUCCCACUCUUACAUCCUUGCAACGCCCACCCAUUCGAGAAUGUCAACUCCUUAUUUCUGGCACUAUGGUUAAGUCCAAAUCUAUU